This 134-nucleotide ribosomal RNA is filed under the name Campylobacter coli. RNAcentral's name for it is "partial 16S ribosomal RNA". It matches the Rfam family "Bacterial small subunit ribosomal RNA", at positions 1401 to 1533 of the family's 1533-position model. The record is from RNAcentral. Lineage: Bacteria; Pseudomonadati; Campylobacterota; Epsilonproteobacteria; Campylobacterales; Campylobacteraceae.
GUCACGAAAGUUGGUAACACCCGACGCCGGUGGCCUAACCCUUGUGGGGGGAGCCGUCGAAGGAGGGACCGGCGAUUGUGACUAAGUCGUAACAAGGUAGCCGUACCGGAAGGUGCGGCUGGAUCACCUCCUUU